RNAcentral lists this ribosomal RNA (330 nucleotides) under uncultured bacterium. RNAcentral describes it as "bacterial SSU rRNA". It matches the Rfam family "Bacterial small subunit ribosomal RNA", at positions 66 to 422 of the family's 1533-position model. The record is from RNAcentral.
GCGGGCGUAGCAAUACGUCAGCGGCAGACGGGUGAGUAACGCGUGGGAACAUACCUUUUGGUUCGGAACAACACAGGGAAACUUGUGCUAAUACCGGAUAAGCCCUUACGGGGAAAGAUUUAUCGCCGAAAGAUUGGCCCGCGUCUGAUUAGCUAGUUGGUGAGGUAAUGGCUCACCAAGGCGACGAUCAGUAGCUGGUCUGAGAGGAUGAUCAGCCACAUUGGGACUGAGACACGGCCCAAACUCCUACGGGAGGCAGCAGUGGGGAAUAUUGGACAAUGGGCGCAAGCCUGAUCCAGCCAUGCCGCGUGAGUGAUGAAGGCCCUAGGG